Molecule: ribosomal RNA, 597 nt
Filed under: Salmonella enterica
Lineage: Bacteria; Pseudomonadati; Pseudomonadota; Gammaproteobacteria; Enterobacterales; Enterobacteriaceae
Also listed under: 4 other names
Description: partial 23S ribosomal RNA
Rfam family: Bacterial large subunit ribosomal RNA
Source: RNAcentral
GACAUCAGGAGGUUAGUGCAAUGGCAUAAGCCAGCUUGACUGCGAGCGUGACGGCGCGAGCAGGUGCGAAAGCAGGUCAUAGUGAUCCGGUGGUUCUGAAUGGAAGGGCCAUCGCUCAACGGAUAAAAGGUACUCCGGGGAUAACAGGCUGAUACCGCCCAAGAGUUCAUAUCGACGGCGGUGUUUGGCACCUCGAUGUCGGCUCAUCACAUCCUGGGGCUGAAGUAGGUCCCAAGGGUAUGGCUGUUCGCCAUUUAAAGUGGUACGCGAGCUGGGUUUAGAACGUCGUGAGACAGUUCGGUCCCUAUCUGCCGUGGGCGCUGGAGAACUGAGGGGGGCUGCUCCUAGUACGAGAGGACCGGAGUGGACGCAUCACUGGUGUUCGGGUUGUCAUGCCAAUGGCACUGCCCGGUAGCUAAAUGCGGAAGAGAUAAGUGCUGAAAGCAUCUAAGCACGAAACUUGCCCCGAGAUGAGUUCUCCCUGAGACUUUAGGUCUCCUGAAGGAACGUUGAAGACGACGACGUUGAUAGGCCGGGUGUGUAAGCGCAGCGAUGCGUUGAGCUAACCGGUACUAAUGAACCGUGAGGCUUAACCUU